Molecule: ribosomal RNA, 567 nt
Filed under: Kazachstania martiniae
Lineage: Eukaryota; Fungi; Ascomycota; Saccharomycetes; Saccharomycetales; Saccharomycetaceae
Description: SSU rRNA
Rfam family: Eukaryotic small subunit ribosomal RNA
Source: RNAcentral
UAAUACAGGGAGGUAGUGACAAUAAUAACGAUACAGGGCCCUUCGGGUCUUGUAAUUGGAAUGAGUACAAUGUAAAUACCUUAACGAGGAACAAUUGGAGGGCAAGUCUGGUGCCAGCAGCCGCGGUAAUUCCAGCUCCAAUAGCGUAUAUUAAAGUUGUUGCAGUUAAAAAGCUCGUAGUUGAACUUUGGGCCUGGUUGGCCGGUCCGAUUUUUUCGUGUACUGGAUUCCAACCGGGCCUUUCCUUCUGGCUAACCUUGGUCCUUGUGGCUCUUGGCGAACCGAUUUUUACUUUGAAAAAUUAGAGUGUUCAGCAGCGUAUUGCUCGAUAUAUAGCAUGAAUAUAGAUAGACGUUUGGUCUAUUUUGUGGUUUCUAGACAUCGUAUGAUAUAGGACGGUCGGGGGCAUCAGUAUUCAAUUGUCAGAGGUGAAAUUCUUGGAUUUAUUGAAGACUAACUACUGCGAAAGCAUUUGCCAAGGACGUUUUCAUUAAUCAAGAACGAAAGUUAGGGGAUCGAAGAUGAUCAGAUACCGUCGUAGUUUAACCAUAAACUAUCCGACUAGGG